This 465-nucleotide ribosomal RNA is filed under the name Vreelandella stevensii. RNAcentral describes it as "partial 16S ribosomal RNA". It matches the Rfam family "Bacterial small subunit ribosomal RNA", at positions 338 to 795 of the family's 1533-position model. The record is from RNAcentral. Lineage: Bacteria; Pseudomonadati; Pseudomonadota; Gammaproteobacteria; Oceanospirillales; Halomonadaceae.
CCUACGGGGAGCAGCAGUGGGGAAUAUUGGACAAUGGGCGAAAGCCUGAUCCAGCCAUGCCGCGUGUGUGAAGAAGGCCUUCGGGUUGUAAAGCACUUUCAGUGGGGAAGAAAGCCUUGGGGCUAAUACCCUCGAGGAAGGACAUCACCCACAGAAGAAGCACCGGCUAACUCCGUGCCAGCAGCCGCGGUAAUACGGAGGGUGCGAGCGUUAAUCGGAAUUACUGGGCGUAAAGCGCGCGUAGGCGGUCUGAUAAGCCGGUUGUGAAAGCCCCGGGCUCAACCUGGGAACGGCAUCCGGAACUGUCAGGCUAGAGUGCAGGAGAGGAAGGUAGAAUUCCCGGUGUAGCGGUGAAAUGCGUAGAGAUCGGGAGGAAUACCAGUGGCGAAGGCGGCCUUCUGGACUGACACUGACGCUGAGGUGCGAAAGCGUGGGUAGCAAACAGGAUUAGAUACCCCGGUAAUC